CGCAUGUUUGUGGGUGGAAAGUUUUUCGGCUUGGGAUGGGCUCGCGGCCUAUCAGCUUGUUGGUGGGGUGAUGGCCUACCAAGGCGACGACGGGUAGCCGGCCUGAGAGGGCGACCGGCCACACUGGGACUGAGACACGGCCCAGACUCCUACGGGAGGCAGCAGUGGGGAAUAUUGCACAAUGGGCGGAAGCCUGAUGCAGCGACGCCGCGUGAGGGAUGACGGCCUUCGGGUUGUAAACCUCUUUCAGCAGGGACGAAGCGCAAGUGACGGUACCUGCAGAAGAAGCGCCGGCCAACUACGUGCCAGCAGCCGCGGUAAGACGUAGGGCGCGAGCGUUGUCCGGAUUUAUUGGGCGUAAAGAGCUCGUAGGCGGCUUGUCGCGUCGACUGUGAAAACCCGUGGCUCAACUGCGGGCCUGCAGUCGAUACGGGCAGGCUAGAGUUCGGUAGGGGAGACUGGAAUUCCUGGUGUAGCGGUGAAAUGCGCAGAUAUCAGGAGGAACACCGGU
RNAcentral lists this ribosomal RNA (511 nucleotides) under Actinoplanes sp. YIM 75959. RNAcentral's name for it is "bacterial SSU rRNA". It matches the Rfam family "Bacterial small subunit ribosomal RNA", at positions 187 to 713 of the family's 1533-position model. The record is from RNAcentral. Lineage: Bacteria; Bacillati; Actinomycetota; Actinomycetes; Micromonosporales; Micromonosporaceae.